UCCUCCCGCGCGGGCCACGUGAGGAGAUUCUGGAGCCUUCAGGUUGUCCCCCGUGCGCAAGCAGCAGGACGAGGCCCAGGACUUUUCGGGCCUGCACGUUUGCUGAGAGUGGUGUUCUUGUGGCGGGGGCGGAAGGUGGACGUCUUAGGAAGCCUUGCGACCCAGUCGGGACCCCCACAGGGACUCCGCAGUGCCUGGGGAUUGCCUGGACCUCGCCCGGGAAAGGAUGCAGUUUUACAAAACCAGAGGUAGCCGUCAAGUUGGAGCAAUGAAAAGGUCCAUUGUUGUUAGAGGAAGAAUUUCCAAGCAGGAGACAUGCAGGGUGAUAGUCCAGGUUGCUGAUGCCACCACCAUAAUUCAUCACCAGAGAUGGAGAAACUCUGUACCAUGAUGCCAGCUGGGCAAGGAAGAUCACUUUGCUGAGUGCUGGCAGGACUGAUUCAAUAGUUAUGCGGGCUCUGGGCUCCCGUGGCUGCCUUUAGCAUCUGGAUGCUGUAACUUGGAAGUUUGGUGUGGAGCGGUGUGAAACCUCAGAGGAUACAUGAAUAGGUCCAUAAACCUUCUCACACUGUCACCCUGGAAAUGGAACUCCAUAUGGCUGUCGGGGAGCUGCCCAAAGGCCACCUACAAGGGAUCCUAGGAAGGCUGGCCGUGUACGUCCUGGGGCCACAUUCGCAGCGUAUGGAAAUUCUUAGACUAAAGGUCAAAUUGGAGCUGCAGCUGCGGACCUACACCACAGCCAUAGCAAUGUAAGAUCUGAGCCCUGUCUGUGACCUACCCUAUAGUUCAGGGCAGUGCCGGAUCCCAAACCCACUGAGUGAGGCCAGGGAUUGAACCCUUAUUUUUAUUUUCUUCUUUGAAUGUCUGUUGAGUUUUUCAUUUUAUUGACUAUAAAUUUUAUUUUCUAUUUGUCUCUUUUUUCUUUUUUUGGCUUUUUAGGGCCACCUCUGUGGCAUGUGGAAGUUCCCAGGCUAGGGGUGGAAUCAGAGCUACAGCUGCCGGACUACACCACAGCCAUAGCAACUGGGUUAAGGAUCCGGCAUUGCUGUAAGCUGUGGUGUAGGUCAUAGAUGUGGCUCAGAUCUGGCAUUACUGUGGCUGUGGUGCAGGUCGGUGGCUCCAGCUCCCAUUCGACCCUAGCCUGGGAACCUCCAUAUGCUGUGGGUAUAGCCCAAAAAAGAGAAAGAAAAAAGAAAAAGUUUCCUUUGAUGGUCAUCUGUCUGAGACCAGGUGGCAAGAUUUUCACACUUUGUCAUUGAAUCUUUCCCUGCCAUCCAGCUUCACCUUGACAAGCAUGUCUGACCACUCCACUGCUAUGGAGAUCACUGACUGUGUGGAGUAAUGACAAGCCUACUGAAGAUGACUGGGUGCAUUAGACAGUUUACAGUGGCUCAACCUAUGUAGAUGCUGAAUUCAGUCCAUUUUCUACAUCUAGUGAUGUGUCCCAGUGAUUGAUUUUGGCAUCAAAACAGAAAUCCUUCUCUUUCUUAACUUGCUAUUCACGCAUCAUCUUCCAGUGGCAAGUGCUGACAAUGACAGAUGCCACCUUCACCACAGCUUGGUUCUUGGCUAAAGUCCCCUCCUCUUAGCUUAUGAGCCCUGCCUUGGGAGAAAGUGUUUGCAAUGUGCCUAGGCCUCAGCUGGAUCCCAGCAGUUGCUUGGCCUAAGAGCUGGGACCCUUUCCCCACAUGCCAGCUGGCGAGCAUAAUCAGUGGUUGUGCACCCUAGGUGUCUUGAUCAGAUGCUUCAUUUUGGCCAGGGUUUUUACUCUCCUGCUUCCUAGGCAAGUCGCUAUAUCCAUAAACUUGACUUAACAAGUCCAUUUUUCUUUUUUCUUACCUGAUCCAAAACACCUCCCAGUAGAUUUUUCAUAUAUAUUAAAAAAUCAGUAAGUAAACUGCUGCCUGUAGAAUUUUGCCUCUAAAGCAACAGGAUCCUUCCAAAAAUCUAAUGUAAACACAAACUGUUGCAUUCUUAAUGAAAAGCCAUUCUUCUGGGUGCUGUGGGUGCUUCGGUGCACCAGUCCCUGCUAGAUGCUGCCUGAGGUCCCCAUUGCUUCUGCACACGUGGACACACCCUGCAGCUCUGAUGGCCCUGGAGGGGGCGUAGCUUCCUGAAUUGUAUUCUCAUUGCACUGGUGUUUGCAGGUGAAUGGGGAAAAUGUUCACUCACCUCCACGUUAUCUCCCUUCUGCCUGCAAGCUGAAACUCAGGGUUGAUGAGGCCCCUCUGAAUUUCAGAGUUUGAUGAAACAGAUUUUCUAGAGUUUAUUCAUGGCUCUUCUUCUCCCUGGACAGGCCACAUGUGUGCUUUGGCUGACAGUGCCCAGCCCCCAGGGCUGUUUUAGAUUCUGGUUUGAUUCCUUAGAAAAGACCAGGAAUCUGGUUCAUAUCAUGUUUUCAGAUAUUUCAAUCAUCUUGCUCAGUAAAAAGUUCUCUAACAUGUGAAUUAAAUGCAUGUUCUACGGUUCUAUAAUUUAUAUUCAUGACAAAGCUUAUGUAAGUAUAGGAAUUUUUAAAGAAGGAGAUGAAAAAGAAUCCAAAUGGAAGUUCUGAUAUUUUCUUCCUGCAUCUGGGUGUACUGUCUUCCACUCCAGUUGGUGGGCCUGAGAGGUCUCACUCUGAGAGAACCUCGGUGCCUCUCAGGUGAAGGUGAGGGGGGGGCGGGGGGAGUGGGGACAAAGCAGGGAUGAUAUCUACAGGGAUGGUUGAAGGUAUUUUUGCCUUCAACCCUCAAAAUCUGCCUGGAUGACCUUGGACUUGUAGGUGAAUUCCAGAUUCAGGGAAAGGUGUGUUUUUCAUGAUGAAGUUCUACCCAGAACGAAAUGAAUCAUGCUGUAUUGUGCUGUUUUUCAUAAAAGUUAGUACAUUGAAUUUCCUUCUCUUGUUAUUCUUUUCCUUUUAAACAUGCCAUGAAUAAAAAUAACAAACUGCU
This 2933-nucleotide long non-coding RNA is filed under the name Sus scrofa (pig). RNAcentral describes it as "lncRNA (ENSSSCG00000042510.2)". Lineage: Eukaryota; Metazoa; Chordata; Mammalia; Artiodactyla; Suidae. The record is from RNAcentral.